RNAcentral lists this long non-coding RNA (154 nucleotides) under Neodiprion pinetum (white pine sawfly). Its description in RNAcentral is "uncharacterized LOC124214460". Lineage: Eukaryota; Metazoa; Arthropoda; Insecta; Hymenoptera; Diprionidae. The record is from RNAcentral.
UCUCGGCUAUUCACGCUACUCGGCGCCGCGUCACCGAUCUCCUCUAAUUUGCCAUCUUAGUGGCCUAAUAAGGCCGCGAAUAUUUGAACUGGGCAUCGGCACUUACAGAAUCGGGGAAAGAUUGGAUGGGAAAAAGCUGACUCACUGGCGAUGA